CCUGUAAGACUGGGAUAACUUCGGGAAACCGGAGCUAAUACCGGAUAACAUAUGAGACCACAUGGUCUUAUAUUAAAAGAUGGCUUCUCGCUAUCACUUACGGAUGGGCCCGCGGCGCAUUAGCUAGUUGGUGAGGUAACGGCUCACCAAGGCAACGAUGCGUAGCCGACCUGAGAGGGUGAUCGGCCACACUGGGACUGAGACACGGCCCAGACUCCUACGGGAGGCAGCAGUAGGGAAUCUUCCGCAAUGGACGAAAGUCUGACGGAGCAACGCCGCGUGAGCGAAGAAGGUCUUCGGAUCGUAAAGCUCUGUUGUUAGGGAAGAACAAGUAUCGUUCGAAUAGGGCGGUACCUUGACGGUACCUAACCAGAAAGCCACGGCUAACUACGUGCCAGCAGCCGCGGUAAUACGUAGGUGGCAAGCGUUAUCCGGAAUUAUUGGGCGUAAAGCGCGCGCAGGCGGUCCUUUAAGUCUGAUGUGAAAGCCCACGGCUCAACCGUGGAGGGUCAUUGGAAACUGGGGGACUUGAGUGCAGAAGAGGAGAGCGGAAUUCCACGUGUAGCGGUGAAAUGCGUAGAGAUGUGGAGGAACACCAGUGGCGAAGGCGGCUCUCUGGUCUGUAACUGACGCUGAGGCGCGAAAGCGUGGGGAGCGAACAGGAUUAGAUACCCUGGUAGUCCACGCCGUAAACGAUGAGUGCUAAGUGUUAGAGGGUUUCCGCCCUUUAGUGCUGAAGUCAACGCAUUAAGCACUCCGCCUGGGGAGUACGGUCGCAAGACUGAAACUCAAAGGAAUUGACGGGGGCCCGCACAAGCGGUGGAGCAUGUGGUUUAAUUCGAAGCAACGCGAAGAACCUUACCAGGUCUUGACAUCCUCUGACACUCCUAGAGAUAGGACGUUCCCUUCGGGGACAGAGUGACAGGUGGUGCAUGGUUGUCGUCAGCUCGUGUCGUGAGAUGUUGGGUUAAGUCCCGCAACGAGCGCAACCCUUGAUCUUAGUUGCCAGCAUUCAGUUGGGCACUCUAAGGUGACUGCCGGUGACAAACCGGAGGAAGGGGGGGAUGACGUCAAAUCAUCAUGCCCCUUAUGACCUGGGCUACAC
This 1105-nucleotide ribosomal RNA is filed under the name Ferdinandcohnia humi. RNAcentral describes it as "bacterial SSU rRNA". It matches the Rfam family "Bacterial small subunit ribosomal RNA", at positions 129 to 1219 of the family's 1533-position model. The record is from RNAcentral. Lineage: Bacteria; Bacillati; Bacillota; Bacilli; Caryophanales; Bacillaceae.